This 696-nucleotide ribosomal RNA is filed under the name Micoletzkyia sp. 1 LM-2017. RNAcentral describes it as "SSU rRNA". It matches the Rfam family "Eukaryotic small subunit ribosomal RNA", at positions 136 to 924 of the family's 1831-position model. Lineage: Eukaryota; Metazoa; Nematoda; Enoplea; Enoplida; Phanodermatidae. The record is from RNAcentral.
UACAUGGAUAACUGUGGUAAUUCUACAGCUAAUACACGCUGGAGGGGUGCGUUUGUUACUUCAAAUCAAUUCAAGUGACUUUAGACAAUUAACGGUCUAAGUACCGACGUCAUAUCCUUCAAACGUCUGCCUUAUCAACUUUCGACGGUAGGCUAUAAGCCUACGGUGGUUAUAACGGGUAACGGAGAAUCAGGGUUUGAUUCCGGAGAGGGAGCCUGAGAAAUGGCUACCACAUCCAAGGAAGGCAGCAGGCACGCAAAUUACCCACUCCCGGCGGGGAGGUAGUGACGAAAAAUAACGAGCAGGUCUUUUUAUGCAUUGUAAUGGGAACAAGCUAAAUCUUUUAUCGAGGAUCUAUUGGAGGGCAAGUCUGGUGCCAGCAGCCGCGGUAAUUCCAGCUCCAAUAGCGUAUAUUAAAGUUGUUGCGGUUAAAAAGCUCGUAGUUGGAUCUACAAGUCCUGUGGUCUUUCUCUGGAAUGAUCUAGUAUUCUAUUGAUGCUCUUCAUUGAGUGUCUUAGUUGCUGGAACUUUUACCUUGAAAAAAUUGAAGUGCUCAAAGCAGGCUUCUACCUGAACAUUGCUGCAUGGGAUAAUAGAAUAGGAGGUUCUAUUUUGUUGGUUUCGGAAUACGAAGUAAUGAUUAAUAGGGACAGACGGGGGCAUUCGUAUUGCUACGUUAGAGGUGAAAUUCUUGGA